CAUGUAGGCGGAUAUGCAAGCUUGGUGUGAAAGGCAGGGGCUUAACUCCUGGACUGCGUUGAGAACUGCAUAACUAGAGUAACUGAGGGGCAACCGGAAUUCCAGGUGUAGGGGUGAAAUCUGUAGAUAUCUGGAAGAACACCAAUGGCGAAGGCAGGUUACCAGCAGAUUACUGACGCUGAGGUGCGAAGGUGCGGGGAGCAAACA
This 207-nucleotide ribosomal RNA is filed under the name uncultured bacterium. RNAcentral describes it as "partial 16S ribosomal RNA". It matches the Rfam family "Bacterial small subunit ribosomal RNA", at positions 568 to 774 of the family's 1533-position model. The record is from RNAcentral.